Molecule: ribosomal RNA, 409 nt
Filed under: uncultured bacterium
Lineage: Bacteria
Description: bacterial SSU rRNA
Rfam family: Bacterial small subunit ribosomal RNA
Source: RNAcentral
UGGGGAAUAUUGGGCAAUGGACGCAAGUCUGACCCAGCGACGCCGCGUGCGGGAUGAAGGCCUUCGGGUUGUAAACCGCUUUCAGCAGGGAAGAAGCGAAAGUGACGGUACCUGCAAAAGAAGCACCGGCUAACUAUGUGCCAGCAGCCGCGGUAAUACAUAGGGUGCGAGCGUUAAUCGGAAUUACUGGGCGUAAAGCGUGCGCAGGCUGUUUUGUAAGUCAGAUGUGAAAUCCCUGAGCUCAACUUAGGAACUGCGUUUGAAACUACAAGACUAGAAUAUGUCAGAGGGGGGUAGAAUUCCACGUGUAGCAGUGAAAUGCGUAGAGAUGUGGAGGAACACCGAUGGCGAAGGCAGCCCCCUGGGUCAACACUGACGCUCAUGCACGAAAGCGUGGGGAGCAAACAGG